AUCUAUAGCCAUACCACCCUGAUUACACCCAAUCUUGUGUGACGUUGGAAGCUAAGCAGAGUGGGGGAUUGUUAUUACUUGGAGGAGAGAAUCAAUUCCAGGAUAAAGACC
Tupaia belangeri (northern tree shrew) is the source of this 111-nucleotide ribosomal RNA. The record is from Ensembl. NCBI's taxonomy places the organism in Eukaryota, Metazoa, Chordata, Mammalia, Scandentia, Tupaiidae.